This 450-nucleotide ribosomal RNA is filed under the name uncultured bacterium. RNAcentral's name for it is "partial 16S ribosomal RNA". It matches the Rfam family "Bacterial small subunit ribosomal RNA", at positions 338 to 795 of the family's 1533-position model. The record is from RNAcentral.
CCUACGGGGGGCAGCAGUAGGGAAUAUUGGACAAUGGGCGAAAGCCUGAUCCAGCCAUGCCGCGUGAUCGAUGAAGGCCCUCUGGGUUGUAAAUAUCUUUUAUCUGGGAAGAAACAAUCUUAUUCUUAAGAUCUUGACGGUACCAGAGGAAUAAGCACCGGCUAACUCCGUGCCAGCAGCCGCGGUAAUACGGAGGGUGCAAGCGUUAUCCGGAUUCACGGGGUUGAAAGGGUGCGGAGGCGGCCGUGGUGAAAGCGCCGAGCGUAACUUGGAGACUGCCAUUGAUACUGCCAGUCUUGAAUGUCGUAGAGGUAAGCGGAAUGUUGCAUGUAGCGGUGAAAUGCUUAGAUAUGUUACAGAACACCAAUUGCGAAGGCAGCUUACUAUGCGAUGAUUGACGCUGAGGCACGAAAGCGUGGGGAGCAAACAGGAUUAGAUACCCUAGUAGUC